GCAUGGGUUUGGAUUUAUGAUGGGCCAGAUUCCCUAGGCCUCCCAUAGUACCCCAUGCCAGAGCAAACUGUAGCCCCAACCAUUGCCUGGCCUGUAUGCCUGUAGGCUGCUGGCACGGAAGUGGGUUGCACAGUA
Small nucleolar RNA from Pongo abelii (Sumatran orangutan), 135 nucleotides. NCBI's taxonomy places the organism in Eukaryota, Metazoa, Chordata, Mammalia, Primates, Hominidae. The record is from Ensembl.